This 600-nucleotide long non-coding RNA is filed under the name Gallus gallus (chicken). Lineage: Eukaryota; Metazoa; Chordata; Aves; Galliformes; Phasianidae. The record is from RNAcentral.
CAGGAUCCUCGAUUUAGCUUCCAUUUGUUCUUCCCAUUAAGGUACAGCUGACUUCCUGAACUGACACCUUGAAACUACACUACCUGUACAGCUGCUUGCUCUGGCUAGAGAGAAGAGAUGAGCAAACGGUGCCUUUUGCGUGGUCACUGGCUCAGCAGUUUCCAUGGAAAUAAAUCGGAGGCAUUACUUUUGGAGCAACUAUGCGGCCCAAGAUAAUUUGUCUUGACUCAGUGUGAUCCAGGCAAGCCAAAAGGUUGCACACCCAUGAAAUAAGCCAAGAAAGUACAUGGACUGCAAGAAAAUUCUUUUUGGUCUACUGACAUCCCUGUUUAAUUAAUAAGUGCUGUCACACAUUCAGCAAGCACGCAUAUCGCUCUUGGUCUUGGUAAGAGCCACUCUCUUUUCCAGUGCUGUGAGUCAUUCAGUCUUCACAAGGUUUUGUCCUCUUCACCAGUCACAAAAAAAUAUUUGUUUGGAAUUUGGUAAACUGAAGUGGAAGUGUCCUCGCCGCUGAGAAUUUACACUGGGACCAGAAUGAUGCCUGCUCUUCCCUCACACAAGGAUGCAGAGCCUAUCGAAGGAAGGGAAUUACAAAAUGAC